This 102-nucleotide non-coding RNA is filed under the name Selenihalanaerobacter shriftii. Its description in RNAcentral is "Glycine sequence". It matches the Rfam family "Glycine riboswitch aptamer". From Rfam's summary of the family: This family represents the bacterial glycine riboswitch. The record is from Rfam by way of RNAcentral. Lineage: Bacteria; Bacillati; Bacillota; Clostridia; Halanaerobiales; Halobacteroidaceae.
AUGAAUCUUAAGGGAGAGGUCUAGUCAGCAUGAUUAGACGCCGAAGGGGCAAGGAAGACAGAAUUUUCUUAAACUCUCAGGCACCAGGACCUUAAGAGGACG